Molecule: small nuclear RNA, 81 nt
Filed under: Mus caroli (Ryukyu mouse)
Lineage: Eukaryota; Metazoa; Chordata; Mammalia; Rodentia; Muridae
Source: RNAcentral
GUGGCACCUCAGUGCUCGCUUUGGCAGCUCGUACACUAAAAUUGGGAUGAUACGGAGAUUAGCAUAGCCCCUGGGCAAGGA